UUUCUAUGAUGAUACUUUUGACCAGUUCUGCUACUGAAUGGAAGUGGUGAUAAUGUUCAAUGCUGAGAAA
Molecule: small nucleolar RNA, 70 nt
Organism: Cololabis saira (Pacific saury)
Lineage: Eukaryota; Metazoa; Chordata; Actinopteri; Beloniformes; Belonidae
Source: RefSeq, a predicted model, not a curated record